RNAcentral lists this ribosomal RNA (442 nucleotides) under uncultured bacterium. Its description in RNAcentral is "partial 16S ribosomal RNA". It matches the Rfam family "Bacterial small subunit ribosomal RNA", at positions 338 to 795 of the family's 1533-position model. The record is from RNAcentral.
CCUACGGGUGGCAGCAGUGGGGAAUAUUGGGCCAUGGGCGCAAGCCUGACCCAGCAACGCCGCGUGAAGGAAGAAGUCUUUCGGUUUGUAAACUUCUUUUAAGAGGGAAGAGCAGAAGACGGUACCUCUUAAAUAAGCCACCGCUAACUACGUGCCAGCAGCCGCGGUAAGACGUAGGUGGCAAGCGUUGUCCGGAUUUACUGGGUGGAGAGGGCGUGCAGCCGGGAAGACAAGUCAGAUGUGAUAUCCCGCGGCUCAACCGCUGAACUGCAUUGGAAACUGUUUUUCUUGAGUACCGGAGAGGUCAUCGGAAUUCCUUGUGUAGCGGUGAAAUGCGUAGAGAUAAGGAAGAACACCAGUGGCGAAGGCGGAUGACUGGACGGCAACUGACGGUGAGGCGCGAAAGCGUGGGGAGCAAACAGGAUUAGAUACCCUAGUAGUC